RNAcentral lists this long non-coding RNA (571 nucleotides) under Canis lupus familiaris (dog). RNAcentral's name for it is "lncRNA (ENSCAFG00030014377.1)". Lineage: Eukaryota; Metazoa; Chordata; Mammalia; Carnivora; Canidae. The record is from RNAcentral.
GUGUAUAUAUAAUAUAUUGUGUAUGAAUAUAUAUACCAUAUAUUGAAAUGGUUAAAUAUAUAAACAAUAACACCAAACAACAACCUUACAAAUAAUGAACUUUCAAUUACUCAUGAAAAUCAUCCAUCUUUAAAACAGUAUUUUUUAGCAAAUUUAUAGCAAUAGGAAUAUAUAUUUCUUUUUCAGAGAAGACAUUCUAUGAAGACUAGCUAGCAGGGUGGAAAGAACGGUGAAGCAUUCCAGUCAUCACUGUGCUGCCAAUAUGAAUGAAGACCCAGAGGGAAAAGGAGGCAGAGGAGCUGCCAAAAACAGGCAAUGGAAGAAAGUCUUUGUGUGUUCCACGAGAGCAGGUCCUCAACACCUGAAGCUGCUGCCUUUGCUGUCACUCAUUCCUUUGUGUACUGACUUCAACAAUCCUUAAAUACCCAGAACAAGAGAGUAGGAGAGAUGAAGCAGUCAACAAUGCUACAUUCCCAAACAUUGACAUUUUCUCAGAUCGUGACCACAAGGCCUGGACUAUGAAGCAGAGAUGAAUAUCCUUUGCCAGAGGGUCAAGCUCACAGUAAAUAGG